GACGAACGCUGGCGGCGCGCUUAACACAUGCAAGUCGAACGGAAAGGCCUGCUUUCCCUUGUGGAUUGCGGGUACUCGAGUGGCGAACGGGUGAGUAACACGUGAGUGAUCUGCCCCCAACUUGGGUAUAAGCCUGGGAAACUGGGUCUAAUUCCCGAUAGGACUGCAGGGUGGUGCCUGUGGUGGAAAACGAUUUUCUAGUGGUUGGGGAUGAGCUCGCGGCCUAUCAGCUUGUUGGUGGGGUAAUGGCCUACCAAGGCGGCGACGGGUAGCCGGCCUGGGGGGGUGGACGGCCACAUUGGGACUGAGAUACGGCCCAGACUCCUACGGGAGGCAGCAGUGGGGAAUAUUGCACAAUGGGCGGAAGCCUGAUGCAGCGACGCCGCGUGGGGGAUGACGGCCUUCGGGUUGUAAACUCCUUUCGACCGCGAGGAAGCCACCUGGUUGGAAGGGUGGUGACGGUAGUGGUAGAAGAAGCACCGGCUAACUACGUG
This 494-nucleotide ribosomal RNA is filed under the name uncultured bacterium. RNAcentral describes it as "partial 16S ribosomal RNA". It matches the Rfam family "Bacterial small subunit ribosomal RNA", at positions 28 to 507 of the family's 1533-position model. The record is from RNAcentral.